GACGAACGCUGGCGGCGCGCUUAACACAUGCAAGUCGAGCGAGAACCAGGACUUCGGUCCUGGGGACAGCGGCGAACGGGUGAGUAACACGUGGGUAAUCUGCCCUCGAUUCUGGGAUAGCCCGGGGAAACUCGGAUUAAUACCGGAUAGCCUUUCAAGCUUUCGGGCGUGAAAGAAAAGGUAGCUUCGGCCUCCGAUCGAGGAUGAGCCCGCGGUGGAUUAGCUUGUUGGCGGGGUAAUGGCCCACCAAGGCGACGAUCCAUAGCUGGUCUGAGAGGACGAUCAGCCACACUGGGACUGAGACACGGCCCAGACUCCUACGGGAGGCAG
RNAcentral lists this ribosomal RNA (330 nucleotides) under uncultured Actinomycetes bacterium. RNAcentral describes it as "bacterial SSU rRNA". It matches the Rfam family "Bacterial small subunit ribosomal RNA", at positions 28 to 351 of the family's 1533-position model. The record is from RNAcentral. Lineage: Bacteria; Bacillati; Actinomycetota; Actinomycetes.